GGCUGGUCUGAAGAUAGUGAGGUAUCUCAACUGUUUUUUCACAGUCAGUUGCCAAUCAAAUUCCUUGUCCUACUCUUUCCUUCUCACUACAGUACUUGACUAGACUUUA
Unclassified non-coding RNA from Aotus nancymaae (Ma's night monkey), 109 nucleotides. It matches the Rfam family "Y RNA". From Rfam's summary of the family: Y RNAs are components of the Ro ribonucleoprotein particle (Ro RNP), in association with Ro60 and La proteins. The Y RNAs and Ro60 and La proteins are well conserved, but the function of the Ro RNP is not known. In humans the RNA component can be one of four small RNAs -- hY1, hY3, hY4 and hY5. The record is from Ensembl. NCBI's taxonomy places the organism in Eukaryota, Metazoa, Chordata, Mammalia, Primates, Aotidae.